RNAcentral lists this unclassified non-coding RNA (377 nucleotides) under uncultured Oligoflexaceae bacterium. RNAcentral describes it as "contains 16S-23S intergenic spacer region". The record is from RNAcentral. Lineage: Bacteria; Pseudomonadati; Bdellovibrionota; Oligoflexia; Oligoflexales; Oligoflexaceae.
UCCGGUUUAACACCGGCAGUCUCCCUAGAGUCCCCAACUUAAUGGUGGUAACUAAGGAUAGGGGUUGCGCUCGUUGCCGGACUUAACCGAACAUUUCACAACACGAGCUGACGACAGCCAUGCAGCACCUGUCACCGUGUCCCCGAAGGGAAAGCCCUAUCUCUAGGGUUGUCACGGGAUGUCAAGGCCAGGUAAGGUUCUUCGCGUUGCUUCGAAUUAAACCACAUACUCCACCGCUUGUGCGGGCCCCCGUCAAUUCCUUUGAGUUUUAGCCUUGCGACCGUACUCCCCAGGCGGGAUACUUAAUGCGUGAACUGCGGCACUCAGAGGGUUAACUCUCCGAACGCCUAGUAUCCAUCGUUUACGGCGUGGACUAC